This 75-nucleotide transfer RNA is filed under the name Mycobacterium kubicae. RNAcentral's name for it is "tRNA-Ala". Lineage: Bacteria; Bacillati; Actinomycetota; Actinomycetes; Mycobacteriales; Mycobacteriaceae. The record is from RNAcentral.
CUCUGAGCUGGACGAGGACGGUCGGUUGUUCUUGCAGGGCGCCCAACGGCCCGAGUUCCAAGCCCGGAUCAAGGC